Molecule: unclassified non-coding RNA, 216 nt
Filed under: Hevea brasiliensis (rubber tree)
Lineage: Eukaryota; Viridiplantae; Streptophyta; Magnoliopsida; Malpighiales; Euphorbiaceae
Source: RNAcentral
GCAAAAUGAAUCGCUUGGGACUGGUCUGCCACUCAACGUUGAGGUUAUGGAGCUGGAUCUGCUCUCCCUCGACUCUGUUGUCAGAUUUGCCGAGGCUUGGAAUGCUCGCCUAGCACCACUGCAUGCUUUGGUCAAUAAUGCUGGCAUUUUUGCAAUUGGAGAGCCUCAACAAUUUUCAAAAGAUGGAUAUGAAGAACACAUGCAAGUGAACCAUCU